CCUACGGGUGGCAGCAGUGGGGAAUAUUGGGCAAUGGGCGCAAGCCUGAACCAGCAACGCCGCGUGAAGGAAGAAGGCUUUCGGGUUGUAAACUUCUUUUCUCAGGGACGAAGCAAGUGACGGUACCUGAGGAAUAAGCCACGGCUAACUACGUGCCAGCAGCCGCGGUAAUACGUAGGUGGCAAGCGUUAUCCGGAUUUACUGGGUGUAAAGGGCGUGUAGGCGGGAAAGCAAGUCAGAUGUGAAAACCAUGGGCUCAACCUGUGGCCUGCAUUUGAAACUGUUUUUCUUGAGUACUGGAGAGGCAGACGGAAUUCCUAGUGUAGCGGUGAAAUGCGGAGAUAUUAGGAGGAACACCAGUGGCGAAGGCGGUCUGCUGGACAGCAACUGACGCUGAGGCGCGAAAGCGUGGGGAGCAAACAGGAUUAGAUACCCUUGUAGUC
Molecule: ribosomal RNA, 443 nt
Filed under: uncultured bacterium
Lineage: Bacteria
Description: partial 16S ribosomal RNA
Rfam family: Bacterial small subunit ribosomal RNA
Source: RNAcentral